This 497-nucleotide ribosomal RNA is filed under the name uncultured bacterium. Its description in RNAcentral is "partial 16S ribosomal RNA". It matches the Rfam family "Bacterial small subunit ribosomal RNA", at positions 28 to 507 of the family's 1533-position model. The record is from RNAcentral.
GACGAACGCUGGCGGCGUGCCUAAUACAUGCAAGUUGAGCGAUGAAGCUUGGUGCUUGCCCCAAUUUGAAGAGCAGCGAACGGGUGAGUAACGCGUGGGGAAUCUGCCUUUGAGCGGGGGACAACAUUUGGAAACGAAUGCUAAUACCGCAUAACAACUUUAAACAUAAGUUUUAAGUUUGAAAGAUGCAAUUGCAUCACUCAAAGAUGAUCCCGCGUUGUAUUAGCUAGUUGGUGAGGUAAAGGCUCACCAAGGCGAUGAUACAUAGCCGACCUGAGAGGGUGAUCGGCCACAUUGGGACUGAGACACGGCCCAAACUCCUACGGGAGGCAGCAGGAGGGAAUCUUCGGCAAUGGACGAAAGUCUGACCGAGCAACGCCGCGUGAGUGAAGAAGGGUUUCGGAUCGUAAAACUCUGUUGGUAGAGAAGAACGUUGGUGAGAGUGGAAAGCUCAUCAAGUGACGGUAACUACUCAGAAAGGGACGGCUAACUACGUG